RNAcentral lists this ribosomal RNA (440 nucleotides) under uncultured bacterium. RNAcentral's name for it is "partial 16S ribosomal RNA". It matches the Rfam family "Bacterial small subunit ribosomal RNA", at positions 338 to 795 of the family's 1533-position model. The record is from RNAcentral.
CCUACGGGAGGCAGCAGUAGGGAAUACUGCUCAAUGGGGGAAACCCUGAAGCAGCAACGCCGCGUGGAGGAUGAAGGUUUUCGGAUUUUAACCUCCUUUUGUUAGAGAAGAUAAUGACGGUAUCUAACGAAUAAGCACCGGCUAACUCCGUGCCAGCAGCCGCGGUAAUACGGAGGGUGCAAGCGUUACUCGGAAUCACUGGGCGUAAAGAGCGCGUAGGCGGGAUAGUAAGUCAGAUGUGAAAUCCUAUGGCUUAACCAUAGAACUGCAUUUGAAACUGUUAUUCUAGAGUAUGGGAGAGGUAGGUGGAAUGCUUGGUGUAGGGGUAAAAUCCGUAGAGAUCAAGAGGAAUACUCAUUGCGAAGGCGACCUGCUAGAACAUAACUGACGCUGAUGCGCGAAAGCGUGGGGAGCAAACAGGAGUAGAUACCCCUGUAGUC